GAUGAACCAACCUCUGCUAGCUUCAAGCUUUUCUUCUCUCACCUCUUUCAGCCAUCAAAUAAUUGAAAAGAGUUAGGGCUUGCUCUGGAUUAGGAUUUGGCUUAAAGGGAUGUUGUGGCUGCUUUGAUCAUCUAUUCAGACCACUAAAACUUUCUUCAGAUCAGCAAUAAGGUAAUUUUGCUUUCUUAUUUGUGUGUACACUGGAGUAGCACUUCUAAUUUCCUUCAAGAACUCUUCCUUUGCAUUCACAUCUUGGCUAGCUUUCAGCCUAGCUCAACUUUUGUCAUGCCUUCCUCACUAAGCUUUAUUUUUAGCUUUUGAUUUAAAGUGAAAAACCUGUGACUCUUCUUUUCACCUGAACACUUAGAGGCUAUUGUAGGGUUAUUAAUUGUUCUGAUUUCAUUAUUGUCGUGUGUCAGGGAAUAGGGACACCCAAGGAGAGGGAGAGUGACUGGAGAACAGAUGGUCAGUGGAGCAGUCAGAACAUAUGCAGCAUGUAUCGAUUAAGUUCACUAUCUUACCUAGGUGUGGUAUGUGGCACUCCAAUGACAAUGGUAGUAUCAAAGAUCAUAGAUCACUAACAUAUACAACAAUAAUAAACAAGUUGGGAGAAUUACCAAAAUAUGACACAGAGACACAACGAGAUGAGCACAAGCUAUUGGAAAAAUGGCAUUUUAGACUUUUUUUGACAUAGGGUUGCUGCAAACCUUGAAUGUGUUUUAAAAAAUUGUUUUUAAACCAGUCAAAUUUAGCAGUGGGGGGUUGUAUACCAACUUUAAUGACACUAUGUUAGUAACUUCUGAUUACCCACUACCAUUUGACCAGCCAAAAAAAAAAAAAAAUGUUUUUUAAUGCAGUAUCUUUGAAGGUCAGUAAAGCAAAGCACAAUAAAAUGAGGUAUGCCUAUAGUUACUUUGUAGAGUCCAUAGGACUUUCUAUGUAGAAAGUCCUGUCUUUUGCAGAUAGGCCGUUUUACUUUCUUUUUUUUCCCAAUCUUUUCUUUCUUGUGCAUUAUUACAUUUACUCAUACCUCCAGGACAAUGUUGAAGAGAAAUGAUGUAUUAGUCCAUUUUCACACUGCUAUAAAGAACUGCCUGUAUUAGCCUAGCAUGGUGGCGGACACCUGUAAUCCCAGCUAUGCAAGAGGCUGAGACGAGAAUCUCUUGAACCUGGGAGGCGGAGGUUGCAACGAGCUGAGAUCGCGCCACUGCACUCCAGCCUGGGUGACAGAGUGAGACACUGUCUC
This is a long non-coding RNA of Homo sapiens (human), 1246 nucleotides long. The record is from Ensembl. NCBI's taxonomy places the organism in Eukaryota, Metazoa, Chordata, Mammalia, Primates, Hominidae.